This 88-nucleotide unclassified non-coding RNA is filed under the name Pseudomonas asplenii. Lineage: Bacteria; Pseudomonadati; Pseudomonadota; Gammaproteobacteria; Pseudomonadales; Pseudomonadaceae. The record is from RNAcentral.
UGCAAGAGCCGGCUUGCUGGAGAGGAACCAUACUGCGGUAUCCUAGAAAUACCGCGUCGCCUCUAUCGCCAGCAAGCCGGCUCCCACA